AACGCGAAGAACCUUACCUGGGCUCGAAAUGUUAUGGACCGGGGUAGAAAUAUCCCUUCCCAGCAAUGGGCCGUAAUAUAGGUGCUGCAUGGCUGUCGUCAGCUCGUGUCGUGAGAUGUUGGGUUAAGUCCCGCAACGAGCGCAACCCUUACCUCCAGUUGCCACCAUUAAGUUGGGCACUCUGGCGGAACCGCCUCGGAUAACGGGGAGGAAGGUGGGGAUGACGUCAAGUCCUCAUGGCCUUUAUGUCCAGGGCUACACACGUGCUACAAUGGCCGGUACAAACCGUCGCAAACCCGUGAGGGGGAGCUAAUCGGAAAAAGCCGGCCUCAGUUCGGAUUGGAGUCUGCAACUCGACUCCAUGAAGCUGGAAUCGCUAGUAAUCGCAGAUCAGAACGCUGCGGUGAAUACGUUCCCGGGCCUUGUACACACCGCGAGC
This 439-nucleotide ribosomal RNA is filed under the name uncultured bacterium. Its description in RNAcentral is "bacterial SSU rRNA". It matches the Rfam family "Bacterial small subunit ribosomal RNA", at positions 958 to 1397 of the family's 1533-position model. The record is from RNAcentral.